RNAcentral lists this long non-coding RNA (536 nucleotides) under Bos indicus x Bos taurus (hybrid cattle). RNAcentral describes it as "lncRNA (ENSBIXG00000018788.1)". The record is from RNAcentral. Lineage: Eukaryota; Metazoa; Chordata; Mammalia; Artiodactyla; Bovidae.
AGACACAACAAAGCCGUGACCAGAGUGUUCAGGACUGUCUUUCUGAUAUGGGGCUGAGCCCUGGCCCCCUCAAGAAGGCUCCUUAACCUGACUUGGCCUCACCUGGCAUCCAGGGCUGUGAGAGGCGAUGCACAAGUGAGGGAGCCCAGCGUCCGGCCAGACCAGGAAACCCAGCCCUCUGGAGAUGCCGAGCUUAGGUCCUGUCCCAAAGCCAGCAAAUAUCCAAACCAAGGCACCAAUGCCAGAGGCAAGUUCAGCUUCGUUGCCAUUCUUUCCCGGAGGAGCCGGUCCCAAGUGUCCAUCCCAAGGAUCUCUCCUGACACCCUGAGGUACCUGUCACCACUAAAACUGCUCAACAUGUUCAAAUCUGUCCAUUCUAAGGGAUGUCAAAGGUCAUGAAGGCAGGAGUUUUCUCCUAGAAUAUCAGUGCUGAGCCCAGUACACAAUAAGGUCUUAAUCAACAUUGCUUGGGUGGAUGGAUGGUUAGGUAGAUGGAUGGAUAGAUGGAUAAAAAGAUGGAUGGAUGGAUGGGUGGG